UUUCCGUAGGUGAACCUGCGGAAGGAUCAUUACAGAGUUCAUGCCCUCACGGGUAGAUCUCCCACCCUUGAAUAUUUAUACCUUAGUUGCUUUGGCAGGCCGUGGAAACACCAUGGGCUCCGGCUUAUGCGUGCCUGCCAGAGGAAACAAACUCUGUUUUUAGUGAUGUCUGAGUACUAUAUAAUAGUUAAAAUUUUCAACAACGGAUCUCUUGGUUCUG
Molecule: unclassified non-coding RNA, 220 nt
Filed under: plant metagenome
Description: partial contains small subunit ribosomal RNA, internal transcribed spacer 1, and 5.8S ribosomal RNA
Source: RNAcentral